This is a small nucleolar RNA of Hydra vulgaris (swiftwater hydra), 140 nucleotides long. RefSeq annotates it as small nucleolar RNA SNORA79. NCBI's taxonomy places the organism in Eukaryota, Metazoa, Cnidaria, Hydrozoa, Anthoathecata, Hydridae. The record is from RefSeq and is a predicted model, not a curated record.
UGGUGAUGUUCCUUAUGCAUUGCUAAGUUUAAAAAUGUAUAAUUUUAAGUCACCAUAAAAAAUUUAAAACAUUUUCACCCAAGUAAGUUUCAACUAGUGGUUGAAAAAUGUUACUCUGGUAUUUGCAUGUUUUAACAUCU